UGGUUAUGCCUUUCCGACGCAACUGAACCACUAUAACCAACCAAAAAUGAUCAACACCAAAAAAAGCAUCCGUAUCUCUACAACGGUGGAAGACUAGUAGACUUAAUAUUUAGUGAGAAGAUUUAGGUUCAGAUCUCUUCUAAUAGUCAGAUACAUCUGUUGUAGAUGACUAAUCUAGUUUAAGUCAGCAUAUCAUCUCUUGUCUGACCA
Molecule: long non-coding RNA, 210 nt
Filed under: Elaeis guineensis (African oil palm)
Lineage: Eukaryota; Viridiplantae; Streptophyta; Magnoliopsida; Arecales; Arecaceae
Description: long non-coding RNA (EGUI_LNC032908)
Source: RNAcentral